This 640-nucleotide ribosomal RNA is filed under the name uncultured archaeon. RNAcentral describes it as "bacterial SSU rRNA". It matches the Rfam family "Bacterial small subunit ribosomal RNA", at positions 397 to 1030 of the family's 1533-position model. The record is from RNAcentral.
CCGCGUGUGUGAAGAAGGCCUGAGGGUUGUAAAGCACUUUCAAUAGGAAGGAAUACCUAUCGGUUAAUACCCGGUAGACUGACAUUACCUAUACAAGAAGCACCGGCUAACUCCGUGCCAGCAGCCGCGGUAAUACGGAGGGUGCAAGCGUUAAUCGGAAUUACUGGGCGUAAAGCGUGCGUAGGCGGUUAUUUAAGUCACAUGUGAAAGCCCUGGGCUUAACCUGGGAACUGCAUUUGAUACUGGAUGACUAGAGUUGAGUAGAGGAGAGUGGAAUUUCAGGUGUAGCGGUGAAAUGCGUAGAGAUCUGAAGGAACACCAGUGGCGAAGGCGGCUCUCUGGACUCAAACUGACGCUGAGGUACGAAAGCGUGGGUAGCAAACAGGAUUAGAUACCCUGGUAGUCCACGCCGUAAACGAUGUCAACUAACCGUUGGGUUCUUUAAGAACUUAGUGGUGGAGCUAACGUAUUAAGUUGACCGCCUGGGGAGUACGGCCGCAAGGCUAAAACUCAAAUGAAUUGACGGGGGCCCGCACAAGCGGUGGAGCAUGUGAUUUAAUUCGAUGCAACGCGAAGAACCUUACCUACCCUUGACAUGUAGCGAAUCCUUUAGAGAUAGAGGAGUGCCUUCGGGAACGCU